GUGUUAGUAUUUUAAUUGGUUAGAAGUCUUGACUGUGAAUCAAGAAGGUGAGAGUUCAAAUCUCUCCUAACACCCCA
RNAcentral lists this transfer RNA (77 nucleotides) under Bacteroides fragilis. RNAcentral describes it as "tRNA-His". It matches the Rfam family "tRNA". From Rfam's summary of the family: Transfer RNA (tRNA) molecules are approximately 80 nucleotides in length. Their secondary structure includes four short double-helical elements and three loops (D, anti-codon, and T loops). Further hydrogen bonds mediate the characteristic L-shaped molecular structure. tRNAs have two regions of fundamental functional importance: the anti-codon, which is responsible for specific mRNA codon recognition, and the 3' end, to which the tRNAs corresponding amino acid is attached (by aminoacyl-tRNA synthetases). tRNAs cope with the degeneracy of the genetic code in two manners: having more than one tRNA (with a specific anti-codon) for a particular amino acid; and 'wobble' base-pairing, i.e. permitting non-standard base-pairing at the 3rd anti-codon position. Lineage: Bacteria; Pseudomonadati; Bacteroidota; Bacteroidia; Bacteroidales; Bacteroidaceae. The record is from RNAcentral. RNAcentral also lists the same sequence under 1 other name.